AUCCAUCUCCUGCCCCCCGCAGGCGAUUCCCCAACGUUUCCGCGCGGAUUCGGGUGUUCCUCGCGCGAAUCAGCGUGGAUCCGAGAUUGCGUAAUUGGAUCCUACUUACUGCGUUUGAUUACCCUGUGGUCACCUGCUAGUAAUUCGCCUGAGCAUUUCAUGGACAUCAUGCUUUUGUUUGUAAUGGAGGUCAUUUGCCACUUCUCAGUGUUAGUUUUAGUGGACUGAUGCGAGUUGUGCACUAUCAGCCAGUCAGGGUUAAGUAGAACUGAAAAAUUGCCAAUAAGGGUAAGGUUCCAAUGUGGAGCUCACAUGCCAUUCACGGCAAUAAAGCAUCACUGCUAUCAGGGUCUUACUGUGGACCAAUCUAUUUCAUGGCUUAUUAUUUACCCGUUGCUCCACAAAAGGAAAGAAAGAAGUGAUGCUACUAUGGCAACAGAUGAGCCACAUAUGUGAUUCUUUCUGAGUUCAUGGUAGCUUGCAAGAAGCUUGUGCUGUUAUGACUUAUCUUUGGAUAUGCUGGCCCAACCUGACUUUACUUUGUUUCUUAUAUGAUGGCAGGAAAGAUAUCUGGUAGUACAAGCUUGAAUUGGGAGUUGGGGCUAUAGUCCUAUUAGCUUAUUAAAUGAGGAUUAAUCAGCAUAGGCUUCUGUUUUGUCACUCAAAGUUACAUAUUUUAUCUCUCUUUCUGAUGCUACAUGAUAAUUAAUAAACAGGCUCAAGUGUGACGGGGCUAUUUUUUGUUCGGUGUGCAUAAUGUUCAAGCUAACCUGCACAUUUAAUAAUAAUAGGGAGCGCUUCAACCUGUGCCUUGUGUCUCUGAGAUUUACUGCCGUGUAUUCCAAUUCACAUUUGCUCAUAUGUGCGUUACAUGGAUAGGUAGCUUGUAUUAUAGAUUAAAUCAAAAGCAACCUACGGAAUUCUUUGACGGCAUUUUCUGCAGCCUGCGGAACAUUGUAUCUGCAAUAGUAAAAAAGUAUAUGGGCUGACUUUGGCAUUUCAUGGGAGGUUUUGAAGAUGAUGAACCACCCUCAAAACGCGCAAGAGCAUCCUCAGUAGAGUCGGCAAAUUUACCAGAAAAUUUCUGUUAUUCGAAAUCCAUUAACCCUUUGGGAGGUACAAUGGCUAGACCUUUGGCUUCCCAGGGGAAAGAAGUUAUGGUUGGUUCUAAAGGUGUUAUUAAGAGGGACGAAUUUGUGAGGAUAAUCACAAAAGCUCUGUAUACUCUUGGAUAUGAAAAAAGUGGAGCUGUUCUUGAGGAAGAAUCAGGUAUUACAUUGCAUUCUCCGUCGGUGAAUCUAUUCAGAAAGCAGGUGCUUGAUGGUAAUUGGGACAAUGCAGUAGCUACCUUGAAUAAACUUGGCCUUCUGGAUGAAAACAUUGUGAAGUCUGCUGCAUUUUUGUUAUUGGAGCAGAAAUUCUUUGACCUUUUGAGAAAUGACAACUUAAUGGGUGCCAUAAAGACGUUGCAAAAUGAAAUCUCCCCCCUUGGUGUUAACAGAAAACGAGUUCAUGAAAUGUCAAGUUGCAUAAUUUCUUCUCCGCAGAACUUCUUGCUUGCAUUUCCAAAGCUUGGAACCGAAGCUUCUGACUCACGCCUUAAGCUCCUAGAGGAAUUGCAAAAGGUGCUCCCACCUGCUGUUAUGGUACCAGAGAGGAGGUUAGAGAAUAUAGUUGAACAGGCACUUACUGUACAACGUGAAGCUUGUUAUCUCCAUAAUUCUAUUGAUGGCUUGUCACUAUAUGUUGAUCAUCACUGUGGGAGGGAUCAGAUACCAUCUCGAACACUGCAGGUUCUGUGUGCACACGGUGACGAAGUAUGGUUUCUUCAAUUCUCAAACAAUGGGAAAUAUUUAGCCUCGUCAUCAAAUGAUAAAUCUGCAAUUAUAUGGAAGGUCGAUGAAGAUGGAGAACUAUUGCUGAAGCAUAGAUUGACUGGUCAUGAGAAACCAGUGAUGAUGGUUGCAUGGAGCCCUGAUGAUAGCCAGCUUCUUACAUGUGGAAUGGAAGAAGCCAUCCGGCGUUGGAAUAUUGAAUCUGGUGAAUGUAUUCAUGUCUACGAGAAGCCUGGCCUUGGUUUGACGUCAUGUGGUUGGUUUCCAGACGGAAAGCAAAUAUUGUGUGGUCUAUCUGAUCAAAGCCUUUGCUUGUGGGAUUUAGAUGGUAAAGAGGCAGAUUGCUGGAAAGGGCAGCGGUCAUCAAAAACAUCUGAUUUUGCUGUAACAAAAGAUGGCAAAGUUAUAAUAAUUAUGAACAGAGAUUCCACAAUUCUUUUAUUCAAUAGGGACACGAAACAGGAGAGGCUGAUUGAAGAGGAUAAUACAAUCACUUCAUUUUCUCUUUCUGAUGAUGGAGAUUUCUUGCUUGUAAAUCUUAUAAGUGAGAAGAUCCAUUUGUGGAACAUAAGGAAUGACCCCAGUAGAGUGAAACAGUACAUUGGCCAUAAACGCAGCCGGUUUGUUAUAAGAUCGUGCUUUGGUGGAUCGGAUCAGGCCUUUAUUGCCAGUGGGAGUGAAGAUUCAAAGGUCUAUAUAUGGCACAGAGCUACGGAAGAUGUUAUCGAGACUCUUUCUGGUCACUCCGGCGCAGUCAACUGUGUAAGCUGGAACCCUACAAAUCCACAUAUGCUCGCUUCUGCGAGUGAUGAUCACACAAUACGUAUAUGGGGGUUGAAGAAGGCCAGCACAAAGCGGAAGGACAUAGGCAGCAGCAGUAGCAGCAAUGGGACUCACAUGAACGGCAGUGCCAACGGCAACGGUUUCUUUCACCAGUGCAACGGUAGCCGCAGCAAAUGAUGAUGGCUUGAUCCUUGGUAGCCCCCAUGCAAGCGAUGAUAGCUUGAUCCUUGGUAGCCCCCAUGCAAGCGUCAUUUGUAAAUCCUCCUUUGCUUUGCUUUCCUUUCGCCAGGAAGAACACCAUAGUUUAAAACAAAGCUACAGUAACAGGUGUGAGUGAGUGAAAAACCUGCUUGGUUUUAUGCACCAUCUCCCUUGUUCCAUCAUCAUCAUCACUGUGGUCACAUUAAUUUAUCAAUUCAAGCUGGAUACAAAUUCCGGUGUUAUUUCACAUGUGAAGCAGCC
This 3080-nucleotide ribosomal RNA is filed under the name Triticum aestivum (bread wheat). Its description in RNAcentral is "partial small subunit ribosomal RNA". Lineage: Eukaryota; Viridiplantae; Streptophyta; Magnoliopsida; Poales; Poaceae. The record is from RNAcentral.